GAUCCUGGCUCAGGAUGAACGCUAGCUACAGGCUUAACACAUACAAGUCGAGGGGCAGCAUGAAAGGAACUUCGGUUCUUUUUGAUGGCGACCGGCGCACGGGUGCGUAACGCGUAUCGAACCUGCCUCAUACUCGGGGAUAGCCUUGCGAAAGUAAGAUUAAUACCCGGCGGUCUCGGACGGCCGCAUGACAGUCCGAGUGAACCGAUUUAUCGGUAUGAGAUGGCGAUGCGUCCCAUUAG
RNAcentral lists this ribosomal RNA (242 nucleotides) under uncultured bacterium. Its description in RNAcentral is "partial 16S ribosomal RNA". It matches the Rfam family "Bacterial small subunit ribosomal RNA", at positions 15 to 244 of the family's 1533-position model. The record is from RNAcentral.